This 253-nucleotide ribosomal RNA is filed under the name uncultured bacterium. Its description in RNAcentral is "partial 16S ribosomal RNA". It matches the Rfam family "Bacterial small subunit ribosomal RNA", at positions 524 to 776 of the family's 1533-position model. The record is from RNAcentral.
UACGUAGGGCGCAAGCGUUGUCCGGAAUUAUUGGGCGUAAAGAGCUCGUAGGCGGUUUGUCGCGUCUGCUGUGAAAUCCCGAGGCUCAACCUCGGGACUGCAGUGGGUACGGGCAGACUAGAGUGUGGUAGGGGAGACUGGAAUUCCUGGUGUAGCGGUGGAAUGCGCAGAUAUCAGGAGGAACACCAAUGGCGAAGGCAGGUCUCUGGGCCACAACUGACGCUGAGGAGCGAAAGCGUGGGGAGCGAACAGG